UUUUUAGUAUAAGUAUGUCCCAUGCAAUACUUGAGACAUACUUGUACUAAAA
Loxodonta africana (African savanna elephant) is the source of this 52-nucleotide microRNA precursor. It matches the Rfam family "mir-1302 microRNA precursor family". NCBI's taxonomy places the organism in Eukaryota, Metazoa, Chordata, Mammalia, Proboscidea, Elephantidae. The record is from Rfam.